Molecule: long non-coding RNA, 826 nt
Filed under: Ananas comosus (pineapple)
Lineage: Eukaryota; Viridiplantae; Streptophyta; Magnoliopsida; Poales; Bromeliaceae
Description: long non-coding RNA (ACOM_LNC021573)
Source: RNAcentral
AGAAGAAAAUAUUGAAAAAAAAAACUUUAGAUUCUCUAGGGUUUAUUUAGAAGUAGUGGAUAAAAAGUAGAAAAUGAAAGAGCUUAAGAAGAAUUAAUGUCGAGAAAUAGUUUAGAUUUGUUGGCUUAAAUGGGCGGCCAUCUUGCCUCUGGCUGGAGGUUAUAUGUGGAUUGAAUUAUGUUCGAAAUGACGUGAGAUUGGGUUGGGCCAAGUCAUGUUCGAAGUGCCGUGAGGCUGGUUGGGCCGAGUCACAAUCGAUAUCCGUGGACGCUAUAUCUAUACGCUUUAAGUGAAUUGGUUGCGUAUUUCUAACAGCUCGAGGUUUUGGGAUAAUGGUUAGCGCCAACGAUCCGACAAGAUUAUCUAGGGUUUAUUUUUGAAGUUGAUAAAAAGUAGAAAAUGAAAUGAGCUCAAGAGGAAUAUAUUGAAAAUGAGUUUUGAUACUGAGACCUCCGUUUGGUUGGGGGUUAAGGGGUGGAAUAACCCCUUAACCCCCAUUUUAUUUCCAACCCAUUUUAUUUCCAAACACUUCUAAAAAUGGGUGGGGUUAGCUAACCCCACCUCAAAUGGGUUAUCCCUGGUUACCUAACCCCACCUAACCCCACCAAACCCCAACCAAACACUAUUUUCUAUUCAUAAUAACCCACUAUCCUUCUUAUCCACAUACUCCAACCAAAUAUUAUUUUUCACUAUCCCGCACUAACUCCAACCCCCAACCAAACACAAAAAUACUCUAACCCCAUCUUAACCCUAGACUUAACCCUAUCUCUGGAAUAACUAGUUUUUCCUUAACCACGAACCAAAUGGUAGGGUUUAUUCGGAAGUA